UCGGGAAUUUUGGGCAAUGGGCGAAAGCCUGACCCAGCAACGCCGCGUGAAGGAUGAAGUAUUUCGGUAUGUAAACUUCGAAAGAAUGGGAAGAAUCAAUGACGGUACCAUUUAUAAGGUCCGGCUAACUACGUGCCAGCAGCCGCGGUAAUACGUAGGGACCAAGCGUUGUUCGGAUUUACUGGGCGUAAAGGGCGCGUAGGCGGCUUUGUAAGUCACUUGUGAAAUCUCCGGGCUUAACUCGGAACGGCCAAGUGAUACUGCAAAGCUAGAGUGCAGAAGGGGCAAUCGGAAUUCUUGGUGUAGCGGUGAAAUGCGUAGAUAUCAAGAGGAACACCUGAGGUGAAGACGGGUUGCUGGGCUGACACUGACGCUGAGGCGCGAAAGCCAGGGGAGCAAACGGGAUUAGAUACCCCCGUAGUCCCUGAGCGGGCUGGCAAGGCGCAU
Molecule: ribosomal RNA, 447 nt
Filed under: uncultured bacterium
Lineage: Bacteria
Description: bacterial SSU rRNA
Rfam family: Bacterial small subunit ribosomal RNA
Source: RNAcentral